GCGAACGCGCCCAUUGACUUGCGCUGUUUAUUCAUGAUUACACAAAACUUUAUGAAUACAUACGUACCUUCGCAAACAGAAACGUUGUUAAUGUACAGAUUGUAUUGUCAUUAUUAUAUUCUACAUGUCUACGCCAUUUUCUUCCCAAUCGUUUCAUUUUCUUUUUCGCCAUUGAUUCUUCGGACCAGCGAUAUCGAAUAUUCCAAGUCAGUAACGAUGUCCCCUAUAACUUGACAUUCAACAUAAUAUAAGAAGAAAUUUUUUUGGGCAGGUAACCAGGAAUGGUUUUCGGGUACGUCCUUUGCAACUCCAUCGCUACCUGCACCUUGCGCUAAAAUUCCGCCAUUAGUAACAAAUCUCCUUUUUCCUUCUUCUUCAAUAGCCAGUCUGAGAUUCCAUAGAGCCUGCCGACAAGAGGGAACAAAAUAGGGAAUAGGCGCUUUUGACAUAAUACUGUUAUAUAAGAUAUAAAAAGUCAAUGUCAUCGAAACAAUUAGGUCUUUACGAUAAUCUAUCAUGUUCUUAACCACAUCAUAAUAUAAAUAUAGACCAAAUCGUGAGCGCACUCUAUUAAGCACAACCAAACGUAUACCCAAAUUUUCCAAUUUGAUAAUUAAGUCGUUGUAUAUUCCAACAGGAAAUGGUCCUUUAAGGUUAAAUUCCAUAUUCACCAAUUGUAGCAACUUUCUCGCAGUAACUAAUAAGGAGGAUAUUUGCUUUUUAUAGCCUUCACAUAUCGUUAGGUUAGUAUAUAAAUUACGACUCAGCAAGUAGUCUGACAGUGUUGUGUAUUGUUUCAAACUUAAUAAAGAAGCUUGCCCGAGCUUAUAUUUCAAAACACGGCGGGCCAAAUAUGGAAAAACCACUAUGUUGACUACUAUAGCCAUGCCUAUCCCAACAUUGACGACUAUAAAACGGAUACAGGCUAGAUGGAAUGGAGAAAUCGUUGAGGUUUUAAGGUAAGAUCCAUAAAGGAUAGGAGGAAACGUAAUGUUGAAUACAGUAGCUAUACCAGAGUAUUCGGUGUUAUACUUGACAUAGCAAGAAACCCAUGAGAUGGCAAAUGUCAAUGUAGCUAUCGCGUAACUCCAUCCUUGGCUGACCUCCCAAGCAGCAUAAGCAUACACAGCACCCGAUAAGGUGCCAAGGGUACGAAAUAAACCAACUCGCAAUGUCGUUGAUACCGUCACUUCAAGUACAAAAAGCGUUGAAAUCAAGGACCACUGUCCGUUCCAAAGAGUGUAACGAGCAGCAGUCGAUUUUUGAAAGGCAACAAUACUUAACAAACCAAUUCCAAUCGCCAUUUUGAGUCCAUAUCUAACAUCUUUCGAGCGUGCAGUGAAAUGAUAAACACGCCAGCAUUUCCGACGCAUCUUUCUUAAAAAAAAUUUUAACGGAUAUCUUACAGAGUCGAAAAACGAUUGAUCAUUUAAAACUUUAGGUGAAUCAUCUUCCUCACCACUGGCAUCAUCAGGCGCUUCAUCGUCGCAUUUAUCUGCGUCUCCAGCUGUGAAAUGAGUCAAAAGAGCGGAGAUAGCAUAAUUAGCAUAUUUUUGUUUAUCAAAAAGACUCAGAUUGAAUUUUCGAAAAAACAGUUUAGGUUUAUUAUGCCGCUGGGCUUUCAAGCCUUCUAAUAGCAGCAGCAAAUUCUUUACCUCUCUGGCAACUUCAAAUAGAUUAAAUAGGUAAUAUGCGAUAACGAGUACUUCCUCUUCAUCUUCAAUUUCUUCGAAACCACCAAAAUCGUUAACUUUUUUGGUCUCCUUAAAAGCUGUACAAAAGAUUUCAGUCAUCAAGUUUUCCUCUUUUGAAUCUAUUUCUUGGAGAGAUUCAAUGCAUUCCCUAAGUCGUUCAUCCGGUAUAUGUUCAACGUCGGAAACCAACCAUUUCAUAAUAGCAUGAGCCAACUUUAAGCUACCCAAUAUCAAUGAAGACAUAUGAUCGACAUUUGAGAAAUAUAAAUUUGAUAAAUUGACAAUCCUGUCCUUGCUAUCCUUUGGCCUUACUUUAGCUCUCAGAGAACCGUUUAUGUGCAAUUGAUAUUGUGGAGUAAAAAUAUUUCUUUUUUGCUGCACCUCUGUGGAUUCGGGUAAUGAAAAGCGAAGUUCAGAAACACGGAUAUCACCUUCAACUUCUUUAUCUUGAUUUUUAUAGAUGCUAAAGUUGUAAGUCUCGUAUAAUGUGAAGGAUGCUGCAAGCUGCGCAGACAUCGCAAGCGUAAUUCUCUCAAAUUUCGGUUCUAGUAGUUUCAAAGUGCUUACAGAAACAUUUGAAUAAUUAAGUUCAAUUUCGGAACUGCUAAUAGCCGUAUGGAAAUCAUCCAUGCUGUUUCUCAAGACAGAUUCAUGUUCCUUAAACAUUCGCUUAAUAACAGAAGAGGAUGAAGAAAAGGAAACAGAUUCAUCUGAAGGAAAGAAAUUUUCUACGGAGAAAUUCAAGCUUUGCAUGAUCUUAUUUAAAUGAUCUAGUCCUGACUGACCCACCAAGUCUGAAGCCAUUCGCAUAGGAGGAACCAAAAUAGUGACUAAUGAAACAACUCCAGCCGCGAUCAAUGAGGGAUAGACAAGACUUAUGUAAAAAGACUUAGCAAUUGUUUUUUCAAAAGGGUCUCUUGUCAAUAAAAAGCAAUCGAUGAAGAUCCAUAUAAUACAAAAGAAUCUGUAACCAUAUCGACUGCGUAUGUAGGCAGCUAAGAUAAAUGUUAGUGACUGAGCAUAGCUAAAAUUACAUACAAAUAAAUGAUGCUAAUGCAAGUGAAGUCGCCAAGAUUGGUGAACCAUCCCCAUGAUUUCUGUUUGCUGCAGUCGCAAAUAGUUUUGUAAUAAUUCCCCAAGUAACCCCAACAGCUGUACCCAUCAGCGACUGUCCUAUCACCUCAAAUUGUGCUCCUACAGUGUUUUGAAUUGGAUAAAAUAGAGUAUGAAAUGUAAGAAUUAAAAAUGGAAAGCUACCGAUCUUUCGAGCCAGCGGUCGAAUUAGUACAAGACAUUGACAUGCAAAGAGUGCGACGACUGGUUUUAAUAAAGAGUAAAAAAUAGCUGAAUACUUUAAAAAAUGCUCGUUCUUCCUUAACUUGUGAAAAGUCCAGCCAUGGUGGAAAUUCAUAACCGGCAAUUAGUUGCACAUAAAACAACCGAAUCGCUUUUCCUUCACAAAAAUUUCUAGUAAUAAAAUCUAUAUCUACAAUUUCAAAUAGGCAGGACGUAGAUAUUGGGAAUUUUUAAAUAUUGACGAUUGCGGAAGAUGAAAAGGCCUAGAGCAGCCAAUUUUAAAAUCAGUGAUGGGGUUUUCAAGCAAACCCAGCAGUAUAUCAAAAAACUACCAAAGAGCCCAACAAAAACAAGUAUGCAAUUUCUUCAGUAUUGUCUGGGAUUCGCAAACUCCUUUCACGUCAGCCUUUAAAAGUUGACGAGGACAAACCGCGGCGUCAGGAAGCCUUUUUCUGAGUUCGAGUUGGUUUAGUAGUAGCUUUAUAUUAAUAUUAGAACUUUUUAAUAUCUAUUGAUAGAAAACUCAUAUGCUUAACGUCGAUUUUGACAUUUUGCGA
This is a non-coding RNA of Schizosaccharomyces pombe (fission yeast), 3547 nucleotides long. The record is from the annotation of a GenBank genome assembly. NCBI's taxonomy places the organism in Eukaryota, Fungi, Ascomycota, Schizosaccharomycetes, Schizosaccharomycetales, Schizosaccharomycetaceae.